AGUCCCGCCCACGCGCCUUUGGAGGCUGCGGUGGGAUUUCCUUUUGCCUUCGGUUGGGGCUGCUGUUUCUCUUCGCCGACGACUCUGGAACCCCUGUGCUCUUCUCCUCAUCUAGUGACCCUGAGGUGAUGGAGUUUUCAAGUCCUUCCAGAGAGGAAUGUCCCAAGCCUUCGGGUAGGGUAAGCAUCAUGGCUGGCAGCCUCACAGGAUUGCUUCUACUUCAGGCAGUGUCGUGGGCAUCAGAUGAGUGCCUUCAGCCGCUACAAGAGCAGAAGCAGUGGGCAUUGGAUGGAGCUGAGUACAGGACCAUACAGGCUAAUUGCACCGGCACAGGAAUCGGAUAUAACAUCAUCUGGGUACCCAUGGCCAGCUGUGACUUCUCCAUCCGCACCUACACCUAUGCAGACACCCCUGAUGAUUUCCAGUUGCACAACUUCAGCCUCCCAGAGGAAGAUACCAAGCUCAAGAUACCCCUGAUUCACCGAGCCCUGCAGUUGGCCCAGCGUCCCGUUUCACUCCUUGCCAGCCCCUGGACAUCACCCACUCGGCUCAAGACCAGGGGAGCGGGGAAUGGGAAGGGGCCACUCAAGGGACAGCCCAGAGACAUCUACCACCAGACCUGGGCCAGAUACAUUGUGAAGUUCCUGGAUGCCUAUGCUGAGCACAAGUUACAGUUCUGGGCAGUGACAGCUGAAAAUGAGCCUUCUGCUGGGCUGUUGAGUGGAUACCCCUUCCAGUGCCUGGGCUUCACCCCUGAACAUCAGCGAGACUUCAUUGCCCGUGACCUAGGUCCUACCCUUGCCAACGGUACUCACCACAAUGUCCGCCUACUCAUGCUGGAUGACCAACGCUUGCUGCUGCCCCACUGGGCAAAGGUGGUACUGACAGACCCAGAAGCAGCUAAAGGCCUGUGUGGGUUCCAAGUUCUGGGAGCAGAGUGUGCGGCUAGGCUCCUGGGAUCGAGGGAUGCAGUACAGCCACAGCAUCAUCACAAACCUCCUGUACCAUGUGGUCGGCUGGACCGACUGGAACCCAUCAUUGUAGACAUCACCAAGCACACGUUUUACAAACAGCCCAUGUUCUACCACCUUGGCCACUUCAGCAAGUUCAUUCCUGAGGGCUCCCAGAGAGUGGGGCUGGUUGCCAGUCAGAAGAACGACCCGGACGCAGUGGCACUGAUGCAUCCCGAUGGCUCUGCUGUUGUGGUCGUGCUAAACCGCUCCUCUAAGGAUGUGCCUCUUACCAUCAAGGAUCCUGCUGUGGGCUUCCUGGAGACAAUCUCACCUGGCUACUCCAUUCACACCUACCUGUGGCGUCGCCAGUGAUGGAGCAGAUACUCAAGGAGGCACUGGGCUCAGCCUGGGCAUUAAAGGGACAGAGUCAGC
Molecule: long non-coding RNA, 1385 nt
Organism: Homo sapiens (human)
Lineage: Eukaryota; Metazoa; Chordata; Mammalia; Primates; Hominidae
Gene: GBA1LP
Product: glucosylceramidase beta 1 like, pseudogene
Source: Ensembl